GGAGAGGUGGCCGAGUCGGUCGAAGGCGGCUGCCUGCUAAGCAGUUGUGUGCGGUAACGUGCACCGGGGGUUCGAAUCCCCCCCUCUCCG
RNAcentral lists this transfer RNA (90 nucleotides) under Candidatus Wallbacteria bacterium HGW-Wallbacteria-1. RNAcentral describes it as "tRNA-Ser". It matches the Rfam family "tRNA". From Rfam's summary of the family: Transfer RNA (tRNA) molecules are approximately 80 nucleotides in length. Their secondary structure includes four short double-helical elements and three loops (D, anti-codon, and T loops). Lineage: Bacteria; Candidatus Walliibacteriota. The record is from RNAcentral.